Molecule: long non-coding RNA, 271 nt
Filed under: Homo sapiens (human)
Lineage: Eukaryota; Metazoa; Chordata; Mammalia; Primates; Hominidae
Description: non-protein coding lnc-IFIT2-1:5
Source: RNAcentral
CUCUGAUUGACUUCUUCCCAGAUCUUCUGGGCUUAGUGGCUGAAGACUGACACUGCCCGAUCACCUGAGAAGCCUCCUGGACCAUCACAGAUGCUUUAGGCUCUAGGGGAUGGUAGAGUCACAGGAUGGAAGAACUCUGUGUCCUUGAAUCAUUGCAUGGAAGAGAACUGGAAGUUGCCCAGGAACACCAGCCUUGGACAGUUAUGUGAACAAGAAAUAAACUUCUUUUACAGUGUCAUUUAUGUUUUUGAGCAUCUUUGUUACAGCGGCU